UGGGGAAUAUUGCACAAUGGAGGGAACUCUGAUGCAGCGACGCCGCGUGAGUGAUGAAGGAAUUCGUUUCGUAAAACUCUGUUCUAUGGGAAGAAAAGGACUGUACCAUAGGAGAAAGCUCCGGCUAAAUACGUGCUAGCAGCCGCGGUAAUACGUAUGGAGCGAGCGUUUUCCGGAAUUAUUGGGCGUAAAGGGUGCGCAGGCGGCUUUACAAGUUGGAUGUGAAAUAUUGUGGCUCAACCACAAACGUGCAUCCAAAACUGCAAAGCUUGAGUUAAGGAGAGGUAAGUAGAAUUCCUGGUGUAGCGGUGGAAUGCGUAGAUAUCAGGAGGAAUACCGGUGGCGAAGGCGACUUACUGGACUUAAGCUGACGCUCAGGCACGAAAGCGUGGGGAGCAAACAGG
This 404-nucleotide ribosomal RNA is filed under the name Fusobacteriota bacterium. RNAcentral's name for it is "Fusobacteria bacterium partial 16S ribosomal RNA". It matches the Rfam family "Bacterial small subunit ribosomal RNA", at positions 355 to 776 of the family's 1533-position model. The record is from RNAcentral. Lineage: Bacteria; Fusobacteriati; Fusobacteriota.